CCUACGGGUGGCUGCAGUGGGGAAUAUUGGACAAUGGGGGCAACCCUGAUCCAGCCAUGCCGCGUGUGUGAAGAAGGCCCUUGGGUUGUAAAGCACUUUCAGUGGGGAGAAAGGUUUGACCUCUAAUACAGGUCGAAAUUGAUGUUACCCACAGAAGAAGCACCGGCUAACUCCGUGCCAGCAGCCGCGGUAAUACGGAGGGUGCAAGCGUUAAUCGGAAUUACUGGGCGUAAAGCGCACGUAGGUGGUUUGCUAAGCCAGCUGUGAAAUCCCCG
This 275-nucleotide ribosomal RNA is filed under the name uncultured Cellvibrio sp. RNAcentral's name for it is "partial 16S ribosomal RNA". It matches the Rfam family "Bacterial small subunit ribosomal RNA", at positions 338 to 605 of the family's 1533-position model. The record is from RNAcentral. Lineage: Bacteria; Pseudomonadati; Pseudomonadota; Gammaproteobacteria; Cellvibrionales; Cellvibrionaceae.